GUUAGAGAGGUGUCUCAUUAAGUAAUCACCUAUGCUAACAAUCUAUUGUUUGUAAUUACAAACUUGACACCUACUCUGAGAGCAAUCCUGAAUGAGUUCUCACACUUAAGGAGCUAUUUACAACCUUAACAUUAACUGUUCAAAACUGUAAAUUAUCAAUAUCGUUACCCCAUGAGUUCACAUGGAGAGGAUGGAGGGAACCCAUUCCAUUGCUGCCCCACCUGUAUGCAAUACUUGGGGAUUUGACUCACUCAGGACCUCUCAGCAUUAUUCCAGACACAUUUUUCCUUCACCCUCUCCUCAGUAGAGGCAGGUCUGAAUAAAUGGGACUAUCAAUGCAUUUAAUGGCUAGAACGGAUCAAUGCUGUUAAAUUGUCAGCUGCUCCCACUCUUACUAUUCCUAUUUAAAACUAUUGCGAUCACAAUCCACCCGUUCUACUUCAAACAGCUCAGGAGGGCUAUCAGAGAUUUUGUAUGACAACGUAAACUUCCGCAUCUGACAUACUUACAAUUGGUGUUACCUGAUUUUAAGUAGUAAAAUGUGGUGGCACACCUUUCCCAGGUUCUUCACUGGAGCCAUGGUGGCACAACCAAACUCUGGGUCUCAUUGAAGAGGACACUCAUUUCAGUUGAUCUGGCGGCUCUUCAAUGGCUCUGGGCCAAAUGCAGAAGAUGACUUGCCAAUCCUAACCCAUAUGUUCUAACGAUAGUGUCGUUCAGGCAUCGGUGGGGCCACAGAUCCGAUCCCAAUGUUACCUCUAUGUGAUAACCCAGAUUUUCCUAUCGGGAUACAUAGACUAUUACUAAAGCAGGAAUGGUGUGGUGGGAUUCACAAUCUGUGAUGCCUCUGUCAGAUGUUUCCAAACACAAGAUGUUCC
Molecule: non-coding RNA, 878 nt
Organism: Pelobates cultripes (western spadefoot toad)
Lineage: Eukaryota; Metazoa; Chordata; Amphibia; Anura; Pelobatidae
Source: the annotation of a GenBank genome assembly